RNAcentral lists this ribosomal RNA (253 nucleotides) under uncultured bacterium. RNAcentral's name for it is "partial 16S ribosomal RNA". It matches the Rfam family "Bacterial small subunit ribosomal RNA", at positions 524 to 776 of the family's 1533-position model. The record is from RNAcentral.
UACGUAGGGUGCGAGCGUUGUCCGGAAUUACUGGGCGUAAAGAGCUCGUAGGCGGUUUGUCGCGUCGUUCGUGAAAACCGGGGGCUUAACCCUGGGCGUGCGGGCGAUACGGGCAGACUUGAGUACUGCAGGGGAGACUGGAAUUCCUGGUGUAGCGGUGGAAUGCGCAGAUAUCAGGAGGAACACCGGUGGCGAAGGCGGGUCUCUGGGCAGUAACUGACGCUGAGGAGCGAAAGCGUGGGGAGCGAACAGG